AUCUGGCUGGCUCAGUUGGUAGAGCAUCUGACUCUUGAUCUCAGGGUCGUGAGUUUGAGUCUCAUGUUGGGUG
Molecule: transfer RNA, 73 nt
Filed under: Canis lupus dingo (dingo)
Lineage: Eukaryota; Metazoa; Chordata; Mammalia; Carnivora; Canidae
Rfam family: tRNA
About the family: Transfer RNA (tRNA) molecules are approximately 80 nucleotides in length. Their secondary structure includes four short double-helical elements and three loops (D, anti-codon, and T loops).
Source: Rfam by way of RNAcentral